CAUAUGAAUAUGUUUCUGUUUUAUGGAAAGAUAUUUUGAACGGUGUAAAGUUUAACAGUACCUUCUGAAUAUGUUUCAGGUUUGUGGAAAUUAUGGCUCCUGUCUUUUCUCGAAAAGCUUGGCGGUGUGUAUGGCACAUGAUUCAGGUAUAUUGAGAUGAUUUCUUUGGAGCAAUUCUUGACAACAUUUGUAGUUGAGGCCUUUAGAAUGGAAGAAUGUAUUUCACUAAUUUUUGUGUACAUUUCUUGUUUUGUAUUUAGUGAUAAAGGAAUCUAAAUUGGGCAUAAAUUAUGUUGUAAUAUGAUUUCUUAAGCCUAGACUAGUAGACUAAAUAUUGUAAUUACAUUUUGAGUAAUUAAUAAAAAUCUAUUUAUGUUA
Humulus lupulus (European hop) is the source of this 378-nucleotide long non-coding RNA. RefSeq lists it as uncharacterized. The record is from RefSeq and is a predicted model, not a curated record. The transcript has 2 exons. NCBI's taxonomy places the organism in Eukaryota, Viridiplantae, Streptophyta, Magnoliopsida, Rosales, Cannabaceae.